GCGCCUGUAGCUCAGUGGAUAGAGCGUCUGUUUCCUAAGCAGAAAGUCACAGGUUCGACCCCUGUCUGGCGCG
Molecule: transfer RNA, 73 nt
Organism: Selaginella moellendorffii
Lineage: Eukaryota; Viridiplantae; Streptophyta; Lycopodiopsida; Selaginellales; Selaginellaceae
Rfam family: tRNA
About the family: Transfer RNA (tRNA) molecules are approximately 80 nucleotides in length. Their secondary structure includes four short double-helical elements and three loops (D, anti-codon, and T loops). Further hydrogen bonds mediate the characteristic L-shaped molecular structure. tRNAs have two regions of fundamental functional importance: the anti-codon, which is responsible for specific mRNA codon recognition, and the 3' end, to which the tRNAs corresponding amino acid is attached (by aminoacyl-tRNA synthetases). tRNAs cope with the degeneracy of the genetic code in two manners: having more than one tRNA (with a specific anti-codon) for a particular amino acid; and 'wobble' base-pairing, i.e. permitting non-standard base-pairing at the 3rd anti-codon position.
Source: Rfam